GAUCCUGGCUCAGGAUGAACGCUAGCGGCAGGCCUAAUACAUGCAAGUCGAACGCUCAGUAGCAAUACUGGGAGUGGCGCACGGGUGCGUAACGCGUACACAAUCUACCUCUAAGCGGGGGACACCUCCUGGAAACGGGGAUUAAUACCGCAUAAUAUGCCGAAGUCGCAUGACUUUGGUAUUAAAGCAGCAAUGCACUUAGAGAUGAGUGUGCGUCCCAUUAGGUAGUUGGUGAGGUAACGGCUCACCAAGCCUAUGAUGGGUAGCCGGUCUGAGAGGAUGGUCGGCCACACGGGCACUGAGACACGGGCCCGACUCCUACGGGAGGCAGCAGUAAGGAAUAUUGGUCAAUGGUGGAAACACUGAACCAGCCAUGCCGCGUGGAGGAAUAAGGUCCUACGGAUUGUAAACUCCUUUUGACGAGGAAGAAAAUGUUAGAUUUAUCUAAUUUUGACGGUACUCGUAGAAUAAGCACCGGCUAACUCCGUG
Molecule: ribosomal RNA, 489 nt
Filed under: uncultured bacterium
Lineage: Bacteria
Description: bacterial SSU rRNA
Rfam family: Bacterial small subunit ribosomal RNA
Source: RNAcentral